UAUCUUUGCCAAAUGGUCAAAUUUGGGCAAAGGGAAAUUGGUUGAUAUGUAAACAACCCACAGUGCCUAACCAAAGCUGCUACCUAAACAACCACAACCAACGGCCACAUAAAUAUUAGAUGACAGGACUGUUUUGCUAUGUUUCUGAAAUUGUAACAAAUUAAACUAAUAUUUUCCUUUAAAGCCCAGUUACCUGCCAACCUCGACGACCCAUCUGACACCACCCCUGCUCCCUUCUGGCUUUAGUGGCCAUGGCCCUCGUCACAACCAUGGGAGUGGUGCCAGUCGUUCUCCUGGUCCUGGCAGCCUUUGACUCAGUGUCCACAGCACACUCUUUUCCUAAUAGUUUUGGCAAAGAGUUCAUCACUGCAUUCCCGGAGAACAUCGCCUUUUACCAUCCCACUCAGCCUUACAACAGAAUUGUAAUCACAGCACUACACAGUGACACCACGGUAAUUAUGAAAAUGAGGGAACUGGGUUCCACAGAUACCAGGAACCUGAAUGCAGCACAGGAAGUUGUGAUUCAGACAAGUUGGAUAAGUGCAGAACUCAAGAGGUCAAAGUUCUCUAACAACACAAUCCAUGUGACCAGCAACAAAGACAUCAGUGUCCUUGCCAUCAGCCAAAGAGGUGAAAGCAUCCAGGCCACGGUAGUCCCACCGGUGGAGAGCUUGGGUACAGAGUACCAUGUCCCCCCUAUACCUGAGAUGAAGCAUCCUCAGCCUCAAAUAGACCCAGGGAACCAUUUGUUUAGGCUCAUCAUCAUAAACAAUAAAGAAAC
Oncorhynchus tshawytscha (Chinook salmon) is the source of this 781-nucleotide long non-coding RNA. The record is from Ensembl. NCBI's taxonomy places the organism in Eukaryota, Metazoa, Chordata, Actinopteri, Salmoniformes, Salmonidae.